Molecule: ribosomal RNA, 483 nt
Filed under: uncultured bacterium
Lineage: Bacteria
Description: bacterial SSU rRNA
Rfam family: Bacterial small subunit ribosomal RNA
Source: RNAcentral
GAUGAACGCUAGCGGCAGGCUUAAUACAUGCAAGUCAAGGGGGUAGCAAUACAACCGGCGCACGGGUGAGUAACGCGUACACAACAUACCAUAUACUGGGGUAUAGCUUUGGGAAACUGAAGGUAAUCCCCAUAACAUUGCGAGAGGGCAUCUGAUUGCAAUUAAAGUUUCGGCGGUAUAUGAUUGGUGUGCGUUUGAUUAGCUAGUUGGUAGGGUAACGGCCUACCAAGGCGACGAUCAAUAGCUGGCGUGAGAGCGCGACCAGCCACACUGGAACUGAGACACGGUCCAGACUCCUACGGGAGGCAGCAGUAGGGAAUAUUGGACAAUGGAGGAAACUCUGAUCCAGCCAUGCCGCGUGAUAGAUGAAGGCCCUCCUGGGUUGUAAAUAUCUUUUAUCUGGAAGAAACAAUCUUAUUCUUAAGAUCUUGACGGUACCAGAGGAAUAAGCACCGGCUAACUCCGUGCCAGCAGCCGCGGUAA